Molecule: ribosomal RNA, 250 nt
Filed under: uncultured Chroococcidiopsis sp.
Lineage: Bacteria; Bacillati; Cyanobacteriota; Cyanophyceae; Chroococcidiopsidales; Chroococcidiopsidaceae
Description: partial 16S ribosomal RNA
Rfam family: Bacterial small subunit ribosomal RNA
Source: RNAcentral
CUAGCCGUAAACGAUGGAUACUAGGCGUUGUGAGUAUCGACCCUCACAGUGUCGUAGCUAACGCGUUAAGUAUCCCGCCUGGGGAGUACGCGCGCAAGCGUGAAACUCAAAGGAAUUGACGGGGGCCCGCACAAGCGGUGGAGUAUGUGGUUUAAUUCGAUGCAACGCGAAGAACCUUACCAGGACUUGACAUGUCGCGAAUCUCAGGGAAACUUGAGAGUGCCUUCGGGGGCGCGAACACAGGUGGUGC